RNAcentral lists this ribosomal RNA (460 nucleotides) under uncultured bacterium. RNAcentral's name for it is "partial 16S ribosomal RNA". It matches the Rfam family "Bacterial small subunit ribosomal RNA", at positions 338 to 795 of the family's 1533-position model. The record is from RNAcentral.
UCUACGGGAGGCUGCAGUGAGGAAUAUUGGUCAAUGGCCGGAAGUCUGAACCAGCCAUGCCGCGUGAAGGUCAGUGCCCUAUGGGCGUUAAACUUCUUUUGUGCGGGAGCAAUAAUGGUCACGUGUGGCCAGACGAGAGUACCGUACGAAUAAGCAUCGGCUAACUCCGGGCCAGCAGCCGCGGUAAUACGGGGGAUGCAAGCGUGAUCCGGAGUUAUUGGGUGUAAAGGGUGCGUAGGCUGUGAGGUAAGUCAGCGGUGAAAUGCCCCCGCUCAACGGGGGGAAGUGCCAUUGAUACUGCCGUGCUGGAAUGCGGAUGCCGUGGGAGGAAGGUGUGGUGUAGCGGUGAAAUGCAGAGAGAUCACACAGAACACCGAUUGCGAAGGCAUCUCACGAAGCCGCGAUUGACGCUGAUGCACGAAAGCGUGGGGAUCAAACAGGAUUAGAUACCCGUGUAGUC